CUCAAAUUUGAAAUCUGGGGCCCCCGACCCCCGAGUUGUAAUUUGGAGAGGCACCUUCGGGAGGAGCGCUGGCCCAUGUUCCUUGGAACAGGACGUCGCAGAGGGUGAGAAUCCCGUGCCAGGCCAGCCGCGCCCUUCCUUGUGAAGCGCCUUCGACGAGUCGAGUUGUUUGGGAAUGCAGCUCCAAGUGGGUGGUAAAUUUCAUCUAAAGCUAAAUACCGGCGAGAGACCGAUAGCGCACAAGUAGAGUGAUCGAAAGAUGAAAAGCACUUUGAAAAUAGAGUCAAAAAGUACGUGAAAUUGUUGAAAGGGAAGCGCUUGAGACCAGACUCGGAGCGAGGCAAACAUCUGGCCCCGCGGGGCCGUGCACUUGCCUCGAUCCGGGCCAGCAUCAGUUGGCGUGGCGGGAGAAAGGCGCGGGGAAUGUGGCUCCCCCCGGGGAGUGUUAUUAGCCCCGCGCUCAAUGCCGCCCUCGCCGACUGAGGACCGCGCUUCGGCUAGGAUGCUGGCUUAAUGGCCUUCAGCGACCCGUCUUGAAACACGGA
Molecule: ribosomal RNA, 545 nt
Filed under: Acetabula calyx
Lineage: Eukaryota; Fungi; Ascomycota; Pezizomycetes; Pezizales; Helvellaceae
Also listed under: 1 other name
Description: eukaryotic LSU rRNA
Rfam family: Eukaryotic large subunit ribosomal RNA
Source: RNAcentral